CCUGGCUCAGAUUGAACGCUGGCGGCAGGCCUAACACAUGCAAGUCGAGCGGUAGAGAGAAGCUUGCUUCUCUUGAGAGCGGCGGACGGGUGAGUAAUGCCUAGGAAUCUGCCUGGUAGUGGGGGAUAACGUUCGGAAACGGACGCUAAUACCGCAUACGUCCUACGGGAGAAAGCAGGGGACCUUCGGGCCUUGCGCUAUCAGAUGAGCCUAGGUCGGAUUAGCUAGUUGGUGAGGUAAUGGCUCACCAAGGCGACGAUCCGUAACUGGUCUGAGAGGAUGAUCAGUCACACUGGAACUGAGACACGGUCCAGACUCCUACGGGAGGCAGCAGUGGGGAAUAUUGGACAAUGGGCGAAAGCCUGAUCCAGCCAUGCCGCGUGUGUGAAGAAGGUCUUCGGAUUGUAAAGCACUUUAAGUUGGGAGGAAGGGCAGUUACCUAAUACGUGAUUGUUUUGACGUUACCGACAGAAUAAGCACCCGGCUAACU
RNAcentral lists this ribosomal RNA (490 nucleotides) under Pseudomonas sp. BF.65. RNAcentral's name for it is "bacterial SSU rRNA". It matches the Rfam family "Bacterial small subunit ribosomal RNA", at positions 18 to 502 of the family's 1533-position model. The record is from RNAcentral. Lineage: Bacteria; Pseudomonadati; Pseudomonadota; Gammaproteobacteria; Pseudomonadales; Pseudomonadaceae.